Long non-coding RNA from Serinus canaria (Common canary), 1162 nucleotides. RefSeq lists it as uncharacterized. NCBI's taxonomy places the organism in Eukaryota, Metazoa, Chordata, Aves, Passeriformes, Fringillidae. The record is from RefSeq and is a predicted model, not a curated record. The transcript has 4 exons.
AAUGCUAUACUCAAUUAAGCUAACUGAAAUCAAUUAACAAAUCAAGUAAUUUUUUUCCAUUUUCAGUUUACAGAGUAAAUCUACCUCUGGAUGCACUCAUGGACUUGCACUAAUGGACAAUCAGGCCACCUAAAUAGCAAUCCAUCUCUUGAUUUACAACAGUUUUGAACACCAUGAGAAAAGACUGAGUUAUUAGAAUAAGUCUUAGCUUAGUGUGACAACAGCAACUGGACCAGGGACGAUUCUCACAGUUCUACCAAAGGUUAUUGUGGAGAAAUCAACUAAAUCACAAGAUGGUGGCGCAACUGUGGAAACAACACCUUUACCAACGAUUUUCCAUACCAAGAACAUCAGCUCUGAGGAACAGAACACAACAGAGGUGAUCUGCACAGACAAGUUUGACAGCAGCAUGGUAACAAUACUGCCAGAUGCUGGAGGGCAGAGAGUGAACAUGCUGUCCAUGGCUGUGUUGGGUUUGAGAGUCCUGCUGGCAAAGAGCAUCGCCUUCAAUGCCCUCAUCAGCAUCAAGCUGUUUCUUUUCUGAGACAUGGGGAAUGAACCCGAAGAAGAGCAGGAAAGAACGUGAACCAGCAGCACAAGGGGGUGGAACAAGCAGGGCCAGAGCUGCUGGCAGAGACCACCCAGGACACAAGGCAGCACCUUCCCCUGAAGACAUGCAACACUGUUCACUCCUGCCUGGCCAGCUGAUUUACACUGAAGACUUUUAAGUGCUUUUGCUGUUUCCUCUCCUCUGAACACUGAGGAGAGUGGAUUUAUCCUCAUACUCCUGCUAAGUAGAUUCUCCCCAGUCUUCUAGCAUUUGCACACAAUUAUCCAACCUGCUUCAAUAGCUUUGAAACCUCCAGUGCUCAGUGCAGAUAGAUGGCCUUUGAAAAGCACCUUUGCCAGGCAUGUUGUGUUACUGCCUGUGGAACUGGAGUAGCACUGCUGAGGCAAUUCCAGCCCAGGAGCUGCCAUUUCUAGAUCUCGGUUUUAGAUAAUUUCAAUACCCAAAAGUGUGUAGAGGAGAAAGAGGAGCUCUGUAGAUUCUGGAGAGAUUUCAUUCAACCAGGUAUUAUUAAUUUCUUGAUUAAGCCUCUAUUUCUUCUGCCAAAUGGAUUGCAUGUCCAUUUUGGGUUCCUGCAGUAGUGACAAAAAUAAA